This 84-nucleotide small RNA is filed under the name Salix viminalis (osier). Lineage: Eukaryota; Viridiplantae; Streptophyta; Magnoliopsida; Malpighiales; Salicaceae. The record is from RNAcentral.
CCAGAAGAUUGUUAUAUUCUGACCUUUCCAUGAAUAACACCUUCGAAUAUCAUGAACAACAUCAUCUUUGCGACUGAUUUCUGA